This 980-nucleotide ribosomal RNA is filed under the name uncultured bacterium. RNAcentral's name for it is "bacterial SSU rRNA". It matches the Rfam family "Bacterial small subunit ribosomal RNA", at positions 8 to 991 of the family's 1533-position model. The record is from RNAcentral.
AGAGUUUGAUCCUGGCUCAGAACGAACGCUGGCGGCGUGCUUAACACAUGCAAGUCGCGUGCGCAGUCUGUAGCAAUACAGAUGGGCGCACGGCGCACGGGUGCGUAACACGUGGGCAAUCUGCCCUCCGAUGGGGAAUAACCCCGCGAAAGCGGGGCUAAUACCGCAUAACAUUCCUUGAGCGAUGGUUCGAGGAUUCAAAGCAGCAAUGCGUCGGAGGAGGAGCCCGCGCCCGAUUAGCUAGUUGGUGAGGUAACGGCUCACCAAGGCAAUGAUCGGUAGCUGGUCUGAGAGGAUGAUCAGCCACACUGGAACUGAGACACGGUCCAGACUCCUACGGGAGGCAGCAGUGGGGAAUCUUGCACAAUGGGCGAAAGCCUGAUGCAGCGACGCCGCGUGGGGGAUGAAGCUUUUCGGAGUGUAAACCCCUUUCGCCUGGGACGAAUGCCCGCAAGGGAGUGACGGUACCAGGAUAAGAAGCCCCGGCUAACUACGUGCCAGCAGCCGCGGUAAGACGUAGGGGGCCAGCGUUGUUCGGAAUUACUGGGUGUAAAGGGUUCGUAGGCGGUCCGGCAAGUCGGGAGUGAAAUCUCUGGGCUCAACCCAGAGGCUGCUUCCGAAACUGCUGUGCUUGAGUGUGAGAGAGGCUCGUGGAAUUGCAGGUGUAGCGGUGAAAUGCGUAGAUAUCUGCAGGAACACCCGUGGCGAAAGCGGCGAGCUGGAUCACUACUGACGCUGAGGAACGAAAGCUAGGGGAGCAAACAGGAUUAGAUACCCUGGUAGUCCUAGCCCUAAACGAUCAGGACUUGGGGUGCCGCCCGUUCGGGCGUCGUCCCGGAGCUAACGCGUUAAGUCCUGCACCUGGGGAGUACGGUCGCAAGACUGAAACUCAAAGGAAUUGACGGGGGCCCGCACAAGCGGUGGAACAUGUGGUUCAAUUCGACGCUACGCGAGGAACCUUACCUGGGCUCGAAAUGCUU